UCUUGAAAAUCGUCGCCGUCGUUCAAUGAAGGAACAAGGUGCGGCGCCACCGUGUAAACGGCGUAGCCGCUUCUCGUUCGUUUGGCCUGAUAGAGCGCCUGAUCGGCGCGGGCGAGCAAUUCGUCCGGUGCGAGCGCGUCGUCCGUCAGCAGCGCAAUGCCGACGCUGGUGCCGAUCUCGAUGGUGUAGCCGUUGACGCUGUAA
RNAcentral lists this unclassified non-coding RNA (204 nucleotides) under Hevea brasiliensis (rubber tree). The record is from RNAcentral. Lineage: Eukaryota; Viridiplantae; Streptophyta; Magnoliopsida; Malpighiales; Euphorbiaceae.